Molecule: long non-coding RNA, 1238 nt
Organism: Daphnia pulicaria
Lineage: Eukaryota; Metazoa; Arthropoda; Branchiopoda; Diplostraca; Daphniidae
Exons: 7
Source: RefSeq, a predicted model, not a curated record
UUUUUUAUAUUUUGGAAAAUAUUAAAAAUUAAUACGAAUUUUUGGCAACAUGUUUCUGCAUGCUUCGUCGAAAUCCAUACCCGCCAUUACUUGUCGUCUUUUCUUCGAGUGGGAGUGCGGUACAGUCACAUACUAUCUUUGUUGAAAUUUUUUAGACUUUUUGUGUUGAUUUUGAAGUGAAUUUUCUUAAAAUAAGUGACUAUUUUCUCGGAUAAUUACACUGCGAUUUUUUCUACGAUAUUUCAAAGAGUCCAUGUGAAUAAGUCGUGGUUAGUUUCACCACUUACGUGUUCGAGCCAACUAUCGCCAACUAUCGAGCUGUGUACCUGCGCCAUUAUUCGUUAUCUUUUUGGUGGAGCCAAGCAUCAUCACGUUGUCUCUGGAAAGAAUCCACCACAUUUUUGGAUAUUUUAAGUCCAAGUGAAGAAGUCGCAUCUAGUUUCGCGUUCGCGCCAAAUGUCUUAUUUGUCCUGAGCUUUGCACCUGCGUCAUUCGUAUAUUUUUGGUGAAAGUGUGUACGGAAACUAAGCAUUUUCAGAGUUUCUGUGGAAAAAACAAACCACCUUUUUUGGAUAAUUUGCAUUCCAAGAUUUUCUCAUGAUGGCGGGUGACUUUGAUAUAUCUUUUAAUUCAUCGUCGAAUUCUUCAUCUUCAUCUCGUUCCCCUGCAGCAUCAACGUCAUCAUCACAAUCAGUGAUAACCAAAAAAAUCUUCUUGUUACCAUAUCUAUUCUGUAAGUCUUCUAUCUGAUCGCUUAGAGGCCUGGCCAAUCGAUUUGUUUCAAGUAAAGCUGUUCAACUCCCCAUUCCUUCACGAAAUGGAUCUUUUGCACCUAAAUUUGCAAUUGUCGAGGAAAUCACUGAAGAUGUUGAUGAUGUUGACAAGUGGGUGGAAGUUGUAUGUGAGAGUUGGUUUGAUGGUGAAUACUGUUUAUUUCCUCCGAAAAGCAAAGAAAAAUAUAUUACGACUUAUGUAAAAACAUUUCAUCAGCCAGACUCAAGUUGGGUAAAAUAUCCUGCAAAAUUAAUCAAAACAUAUGCAAGAAAAAAACUCAAUAAAUCAGUUAAGGGGGAUGAUCUGUGUACAACCGACGCAGAUGAAAGGAAAAAACCAGAAAAUCGCGAUGUCAGGAAAUCCCGAGAAGAUUUAAAUGAAGAAGAUGACAUGGCAAUCAAUCGUUCAAAGAAAACAUCUUUAAAAAGAAUUUGGCAAUACCCGGCUAGUGGUAGCGAAGAAGA